GCGGGCGUCGUUCAAUGGUAGGACGCGAGCUUCCCAAGCUUGAGACGUGGGUUCGAUUCCCAUCGCCCGUACCA
RNAcentral lists this transfer RNA (74 nucleotides) under Bacteroides caccae. RNAcentral's name for it is "tRNA-Gly". It matches the Rfam family "tRNA". From Rfam's summary of the family: Transfer RNA (tRNA) molecules are approximately 80 nucleotides in length. Their secondary structure includes four short double-helical elements and three loops (D, anti-codon, and T loops). Further hydrogen bonds mediate the characteristic L-shaped molecular structure. tRNAs have two regions of fundamental functional importance: the anti-codon, which is responsible for specific mRNA codon recognition, and the 3' end, to which the tRNAs corresponding amino acid is attached (by aminoacyl-tRNA synthetases). tRNAs cope with the degeneracy of the genetic code in two manners: having more than one tRNA (with a specific anti-codon) for a particular amino acid; and 'wobble' base-pairing, i.e. permitting non-standard base-pairing at the 3rd anti-codon position. Lineage: Bacteria; Pseudomonadati; Bacteroidota; Bacteroidia; Bacteroidales; Bacteroidaceae. The record is from RNAcentral. RNAcentral also lists the same sequence under 87 other names.